UACGUAGGGUGCAAGCGUUGUCCGGAAUCAUUGGGCGUAAAGCGCGCGUAGGUGGCUUCGUAAGUCCGUUGUGAAAGCCAAAGGCUCAACCUUUGAAAGCCGAUGGAUACUGCGGAGCUAGAGUACGGAAGAGGCGAGUGGAAUUCCUGGUGUAGCGGUGGAAUGCGCAGAUAUCAGGAGGAACACCGGUGGCGAAGGCGGGUCUCUGGGCCGAUACUGACGCUGAGGAGCGAAAGCGUGGGGAGCGAACAGG
This 253-nucleotide ribosomal RNA is filed under the name uncultured bacterium. RNAcentral describes it as "partial 16S ribosomal RNA". It matches the Rfam family "Bacterial small subunit ribosomal RNA", at positions 524 to 776 of the family's 1533-position model. The record is from RNAcentral.